GAAUAUGUUGAUUAUCGGAGAGUUGGAUGCUUUGAAAUGGUUUCACCAAGGUGUUUUUUUUCCUUCACAGAGCGCUUUGCUAUGGGGAGAAACGAGCCCAGCAAGGCUGAGGAAAAGAUUGGAUAUCCAUAUCCGUUGGAGGCUCCAAGCAAACACACUCAGAGGGUGACGAGAGCUCAGCAGACCCCAGGAUUGGCAAGUCCUCAAGCCCUCUGCUCUCCUUUACGGAGAAAGAACAUCUGCGGAGAAUUGUGGGGAGUCAGAGAGAUGAGGGGCAGGGAAUGUAUCCACCAACUCUGUUUUCUCUACACCUGGUCACCAAAGCUGUAUGGCUACCAAUGGAGAUGAACUAGAAACUGAUGAAUCGUAAAAGUUUAUUAUUUUUGCUUAUUACAGAAAUGUAAUAUCGAUCCUAAUAAAUCCUUAGAGAUGAUUAUUUUUACCUAAUGCAGAAAUUUUGAAUCAAUUUUAAUAAAAUCUUUAAAGAUUUUUUUUUUACAUAUUAGAGAAAUGUGACCUCAAUGAAG
RNAcentral lists this long non-coding RNA (527 nucleotides) under Ornithorhynchus anatinus (platypus). Its description in RNAcentral is "lncRNA (ENSOANG00000051295.1)". The record is from RNAcentral. Lineage: Eukaryota; Metazoa; Chordata; Mammalia; Monotremata; Ornithorhynchidae.